RNAcentral lists this ribosomal RNA (632 nucleotides) under Novosphingobium aromaticivorans. RNAcentral describes it as "bacterial SSU rRNA". It matches the Rfam family "Bacterial small subunit ribosomal RNA", at positions 67 to 746 of the family's 1533-position model. Lineage: Bacteria; Pseudomonadati; Pseudomonadota; Alphaproteobacteria; Sphingomonadales; Sphingomonadaceae. The record is from RNAcentral.
CGAACCCUUCGGGGUUAGUGGCGCACGGGUGCGUAACGCGUGGGAAUCUGCCCUUUGCUUCGGAAUAACUCAGGGAAACUUGUGCUAAUACCGGAUGAUGUCUUCGGACCAAAGAUUUAUCGGCAAGGGAUGAGCCCGCGUAGGAUUAGGUAGUUGGUGGGGUAAAGGCCUACCAAGCCGACGAUCCUUAGCUGGUCUGAGAGGAUGAUCAGCCACACUGGGACUGAGACACGGCCCAGACUCCUACGGGAGGCAGCAGUGGGGAAUAUUGGACAAUGGGCGCAAGCCUGAUCCAGCAAUGCCGCGUGAGUGAUGAAGGCCCUCGGGUCGUAAAGCUCUUUUACCAGGGAUGAUAAUGACAGUACCUGGAGAAUAAGCUCCGGCUAACUCCGUGCCAGCAGCCGCGGUAAUACGGAGGGAGCUAGCGUUGUUCGGAAUUACUGGGCGUAAAGCGCACGUAGGCGGCUACUCAAGUCAGAGGUGAAAGCCCGGGGCUCAACCCCGGAACUGCCUUUGAAACUAGGUAGCUAGAAUCUUGGAGAGGCGAGUGGAAUUCCGAGUGUAGAGGUGAAAUUCGUAGAUAUUCGGAAGAACACCAGUGGCGAAGGCGACUCGCUGGACAAGUAUGACGC